AGCAUUAUACCGUGAAACUGCGAAUGGCUCAUUAAAUCAGUUAUCGUUUAUUUGAUAGUACCUUACUACUUGGAUAACCGUGGUAAUUCUAGAGCUAAUACAUGCUAAAAACCCCAACUUCGGGAGGGGUGUAUUUAUUAGAUAAAAAACCAAUGCCCUUCGGGGCUCCUUGGUGAUUCAUAAUAACUUCUCAGAUCGCAUGGCCUUGCGCCGGCGACGGUUCAUUCAAAUUUCUGCCCUAUCAACUUUCGAUGGUAAGGUAUUGGCUUACCAUGGUUUCAACGGGUAACGGGGAAUUAGGGUUCGAUUCCGGAGAGGGAGCCUGAGAAACGGCUACCACAUCCAAGGAAGGCAGCAGGCGCGCAAAUUACCCAAUCCCGACACGGGGAGGUAGUGACAAUAAAUACUGAUACAGGGCUCUUUAGGGUCUUGUAAUUGGAAUGAGUACAAUUUAAACCUCUUAACGAGGAACAAUUGGAGGGCAAGUCUGGUGCCAGCAGCCGCGGUAAUUCCAGCUCCAAUAGCGUAUAUUAAAGUUGUUGCAGUUAAAAAGCUCGUAGUUGAACCUUUGGCCUGGCUGGCGGGUCCGCCUCACCGCGUGCACUCGUCCGGCCGGGCCUUUUCUUCUGGAGAACCGCAUGCCCUUCACUGGGUGUGUUGGGGACCAGGACUUUUACUUUGAAAAAAUUAGAGUGUUCAAAGCAGGCCUUUGCUCGAAUACGUUAGCAUGGAAUAAUAGAAUAGGACGUGCGGUCCUAUUUUGUUGGUUUCUAGGACCGCCGUAAUGAUUAAUAGGGACAGUCGGGGGCAUCAGUAUUCAAUUGUCAGAGGUGAAAUUCUUGGAUUUAUUGAAGACUAACUACUGCGAAAGCAUUUGCCAAGGAUGUUUUCAUUAAUCAGUGAACGAAAGUUAGGGGAUCGAAGACGAUCAGAUACCGUCGUAGUCUUAACCAUAAACUAUGCCGACUAGGGAUCGGGCGGUGUUACUAUUUUGACCCGCUCGGCACCUUACGAGAAAUCAAAGU
RNAcentral lists this ribosomal RNA (1025 nucleotides) under Periconia sp. H 4432. RNAcentral describes it as "SSU rRNA". It matches the Rfam family "Eukaryotic small subunit ribosomal RNA", at positions 68 to 1104 of the family's 1831-position model. The record is from RNAcentral. RNAcentral also lists the same sequence under 1 other name. Lineage: Eukaryota; Fungi; Ascomycota; Dothideomycetes; Pleosporales; Periconiaceae.